GAUGAACGCUAGCGAUAGGCUUAACACAUGCAAGUCGAGGGGCAUCGGGCAGAAAGCUUGCUUUUUGUGCUGGCGACCGGCGGAUGGGUGCGUAACGCGUAUGCAACUUGCCCCACAGCGGGGGAUAACCCGGAGAAAUUCGGACUAAUACCGCAUACAUUCUAUUUUUUGCAUGAGAGAUAGAAGAAAGAUUUAUUACUGUGGGAUAGGCAUGCGUUCCAUUAGCUAGUAGGUGAGGUAACGGCUCACCUAGGCAACGAUGGAUAGGGGAACUGAGAGGUUUAACCCCCACACUGGUACUGAGACACGGACCAGACUCCUACGGGAGGCAGCAGUGAGGAAUAUUGGUCAAUGGGCGAGAGCCUGAACCAGCCAAGUCGCGUGAAGGAUGACGGCCCUAAGGGUUGUAAACUUCUUUAGUAGGGGAGUAAAGUUGGGAAUGCGUUCCCAUUUGCAAGUACCCUAAGAAUAAGUAUCGGCUAACUCCGUGCCAGCAGCCGCGGUAAUACGGAGGAUACGAGCGUUAUCCGGAUUUAUUGGGUUUAAAGGGUGCGUAGGUGGCCGAUUAAGUCAGCGGUGAAAAGCUCAGGCUCAACCUGAGUCUUGCCGUUGAAACUGGUUGGCUUGAGUGUGGAUGCUGUGUGCGGAACGCGUAGUGUAGCGGUGAAAUGCAUAGAUAUUACGCAGAACUCCAAUUGCGAAGGCAGCGCACAAAACCACAACUGACACUCAGAGCACGAGAGCGUGGGUAUCAAACAGG
RNAcentral lists this ribosomal RNA (760 nucleotides) under uncultured Porphyromonas sp. Its description in RNAcentral is "bacterial SSU rRNA". It matches the Rfam family "Bacterial small subunit ribosomal RNA", at positions 28 to 776 of the family's 1533-position model. Lineage: Bacteria; Pseudomonadati; Bacteroidota; Bacteroidia; Bacteroidales; Porphyromonadaceae. The record is from RNAcentral.